UCGAUAUUGUUGUGUCUCAGGGAAUAGGGAGGUCUAAGAAGAGGGAGAGACUGGAAACCGCUAGUUGGUGGAACAGUUAGAAUAUACACAAGAUUUAUCAAUUAAGUUCACUGUCUUAUACGGGCAUGGUUUGCAGUACCCUAAAACAAUUACAGUAGUAACAAAGAUCACUGAUCACAGACCACCAUGACAGAUACAAGAAUAAAAACAUUUGAAAUACUCUAAGAGUUACCAAAAUGUGACACUUACACAAAGUGAGCCCAUGCUGGGAAAAUGCCCCGAUAGACUUGCUCUAUGCAGGGUGGCCACAAGCCCUCAAUUUGUAGAAAAGGCAGUAUCUUUGAAGCACAAUGAAGCAGAAUGCAAUAAAAUGAGGUAUACUUGUAUUCUAAUUUUCUGCCAUGAAAAACUGUCUAGAGGGCAGUCUCCAACCCUAGGGACUAGAUUGCUUUUGUUUUCAUGCAUGCCCUAAGGUCACAGAGAUGGGGGAUAACAGUAUGAUGGGAGAUUCUGGUAGGGACUCAAACCUGAUGGUGUUCAGUAGUUGCAGGUAGACUGCUGCUAAAAGUUGGACUUUCAAUUUAGAAUAAAAUAAUGGGUCAAUGUAUAUUAUGUACAUUUUCUCCAUUUCCUGAGUUUAGCUUUCAACAGUUAAGAUACUUGCAACAGCAGAAGUAACACUACAUAGUGUUACAGUGUACAAAUCCCUUGUCAUUUUUAUUUUAAAAUAUAUUUAUUACCUCAGUCUCUGGCUAUAUUCACAUAGCGCAAGGGCACAAGAUCAUCCCUUCUGUUUCUCUCUCUAAAGCUGAGUAGGUUCUGAGUGAACUGACAGGCUUGUUUUUUUUUUGCCCAGAAUGCUAACCAGUCCUGACAUGGAGGGCAAGUAAAUUUAAAAAUCUUAAAUUAGAAAUAAAGAAUGAUCUUAGGAAAUUAUAGGGUCAUUCUGGUCCAGCAGUGUUUUAUAACUGGCUUCCUUCUCUUACUAGUCACGGAAAUUAUUAGAGAGUGUUGCAUUUUCCUAAUACGGCCCUCCUCAGCACAUGACAUUUAAGUAAACAACUCUGUGUAAGAGGCAGUUAUAAUAGUUUAUAUAAUAUAAACUAUCUGAUACACAUAUCAUCUGAAAGCCUGUAUUUCUAACAAGUUGACUAUGUGGAAGAAUAGACUAGUUCGCAGGCCAGAAGAUUAUACCGUAGAUUACACUGGUAAAGAGCAGAAAUUGUUGACGCUUUAGUACCUAGCUGUCUUAAAGCAUUUUUAAACAUUUGCACAUUACUAAUAAAAAGUUUGAAGUUAACAAGAAAUUUGACAUAAAACUGAGUAAGCUGUAAAUAUUUCAUAUAGAAGAUGUCUGACACCUGAUAAAUGUUACUUACCAAAUAGAACUGAAAGUGAGAUGAUCAGAAAAAGAUUGUCCUUGCCUCAAGCAAGCUUCUGAAGCCUAGGCAAGUUAGCUAGGUCCUUAAUAUGGGAUUCUGGCAUCCUGAUUUUAAUGUGCUCUGAAAACAAAGUGUGUGACUCAUGAAAUAAAGGACACUAAACCCCAAAUUUGAAAUUAUGAAAACUUUAGGCCAAAGAGGUAAAAUAAAAACAGCUGUUGGGAGUGAAAAAUGGCUGUAGGAAUUUAGUUACAAGUACUUCACAAAAACAUUUUCAUCACAUUUACAUAAUAUAGCAUUACAAUACAAAGCUGGCUGCUGUCCUGACCAAGCAAGUUCUCUUAUCAUCUAACAAAAAUAAUUUAGAUACAUUUCUUUGCAUGGAAUUGUCAUAUUUUUCCAUUUUUGGUACAAAACAUAGAAAAAAACAUUGGCACAUUAUGUAGUGAUAAGUCAUUUUUUCCCCAUGUACAAGUUCCAAGUAUUCUGCAUUCCAAUUUGUAUUGGAAAAAAGUAAUUACUGAUUCAAUUAAUUCAGUCUCUGUUUGUUUAUACCUUUUAAAAAUGCAGCAUGAAGUACAGAGAAAGAAAAAUGAAGUUUGUUUACGGAGUCUAAUAUUUAUAAUACAUAGGAAGGAUCAGCUGGUAAAAGAGAAAGGAAAAUCUCGAGUCUGACUUUAUGUAGAUCACAGGGAGUUGUGAAAAGAGCAGUAUAAAAAUAUGCACUUGUGCUUUAGAAGCUUUUAGCAUACAAUUAAUAGCUUAAAAUAGUAUUUACUGCCUCCCCAUAUGCCUAUUUUCUGAUAUAUUUACACCACACAAUUUUAACAUUGUUAAAGCUAAUGGCAUGAUUUCAAAUAUAGACUGGUUAAAAAUAUCUGAACCUUGAAACUUCCCCUAUCCCCUCCCAAAAUAUUACGUAUAGAUGGUGCAUGGCACAACAUACUGCAUGGGCUUACACCCAGAAAAUUUGGAUUUUAAUAAAAAUUUUAAACAUGU
RNAcentral lists this long non-coding RNA (2381 nucleotides) under Homo sapiens (human). RNAcentral describes it as "non-protein coding lnc-OTP-5:1". Lineage: Eukaryota; Metazoa; Chordata; Mammalia; Primates; Hominidae. The record is from RNAcentral.